Monodelphis domestica (gray short-tailed opossum) is the source of this 1825-nucleotide long non-coding RNA. Lineage: Eukaryota; Metazoa; Chordata; Mammalia; Didelphimorphia; Didelphidae. The record is from Ensembl.
UUUUUUUUAAACCUUUACCUUCCGUCUUGGAAUCAAUACUGUCUAUUGUGGUAAGGGCUGAGCAAUGGGGGUUAAGGGGCUUGCCCAGGGUCACACAGCUGGGAAGUGUCUGAGGCCAGAUUGGAACCCAGGACCUCCCAUCUCUAGGCCUGGCUCUCAAUCCAUUGAGCUACCCAGCUGCCCCCACUGUAUAGGUUUUUAAAAAGAAAAAUCAUUUGACAAAACCUCUCUUGCUAAUCUUGAAGAAAAGAUGGAGUCCAAGGAUGCCAUGGACAAUAUAUUUUGGUAGAUGUAGAGCAGGUUGAUUAUCUGGACUCAGAAUAACCAUUGAAUGACUGUACCUGGGCUUGGAUAGAAGUCCCAGGGACCUGCGCUAUUUGACAGUUUUAUCAGUAUCUUGUGUCAGAGGUUGAGAACUUGGAGCUCAUCUAAGAUAUAGAUCUGAGUGCCCUCUGUUAAGAGGUCAAAAGUCGGAGUCAGAGUGAGCCCAAGUGCCCUCUCCCUCCCCUUCUUUAGGCCUCAUAGUAAUACAUGUCUAUUGCUGGCAAAGACAUGCUGUUGCUAUCUGUUCCAUGAACCUUAGAUGAUGUUUGAGUCAUAAUCUUACCCCAAAUGCCUAUCUACAUUUCUUGACAAUAUUCUCUCACCCUAAUUCCUGGAAUCCUUAUCUUGCACCAGGUGUCAUGUCUACCAUCUUGUUGCACUUUCCCAAGAACUGCCUCAGCCCUUUGCCAAGGACCCAUCUCAAUGUUGAGAUUGGCGAUAUGUUCCUGUAAUUUCUGCUAUUGGGAAGUGGAGGCUGGUGGAUCUCCUAUGCUCAAGAGUUCUGAGCUACAGAGAGGUCUCAGCUCAGGUGUCUUCUCCUACUCCAGGCCUUUCCUGACCCCUCAGGUGAUGAUGUCAUGUUGGCCAAGCUUACUUCGCAUUUAUUUUUUAUGUAUUUUCUACUGAACUUCUUUGUGUGGCUGUUGUUUUCCCCCUGUGUUAAUGAGGGUCAAGUAUGUUUGUUUCCCUUUCAUCUUUGAAUCUCAUGGGAACCCAAUACAGAACUUUGCACAUGUUGUUUGACCUUCAUUUUUCAGUGUUGUAAGGACCAAUGAUAACCCAGAAUGAUGUCUUGAUAUGUGCAUGAAUUGAAUUGAAAUGAGGCAGAGUCAGACAAAGUCAUCAGCUUCAUUCUCUUCCAGCUUCAACGAAAUCCAGUAGAAGGACAAAAGUCACGAUGACUGGUGAUGGCCCUGGAUGAAAUGGGUAACCUUGGCAUCUUUGAUGUCUGGCCAAGCUCUCAGCUCUCUCUCCACAGCACCGUUUCGGUCACCUUCAUGACCAUUGGAACAAAUUGUUCCCACAGACCCGUUCCCCUGGGGGAAGUUUUAAUAUGCUUAGGGUAGACAUCUCUCUAAUUCAUCUCCAGGUUUGAGAACCCUCACCUGCUUUAGCCUGUUGAGACAGUUUUACCAGAGUGUGGUCCCUGUGCAUGGUUUUUUUUCCUUUUUUUUUAAACCCUCACCUUCCGUCUUGGAGUCAAUACUGUAUAUUGGUUCCAAGGCAGAAGAGUGGUAAGGGCUAGGCAAUGGGGGUCAAGUGACUUGCCCAGGGUCACAUAGCUGGGAAGUGUCUGAGGCCAGAUUGGAACCCAGGGCCUCCUGUCUCUAGGCCCGGUUCUCAAUCCACUGAGCUAUCCAGCUGCCCCCUGUGCAUGUUAACAGCUUCUUGGAGCCACAGUUGAGAGCGGGUGAAAGCUGGAUACCAGAGGUGGAUGAGCAGCCCUAAAAAGGGCUCAGCAACAUAGUAUGUACUUAAUAAAGUUUAUUGAGGAAAUUCA